UAACACAUGCAAGUCGAGGGGUAACAUAGAGUGCUUGCACUUUGAUGACGACCGGCGCACGGGUGAGUAACGCGUAUACAAUCUGCCUCAUACUAGGGGAUAGCCCAGAGAAAUUUGGAUUAAUACCCUAUAGUAUCAUUUAGAGUCAUCUCUUUAUGAUUAAAGGUUACGGUAUGAGAUGAGUAUGCGUUCUAUUAGUUAGUAGGUGAGGUAACGGCUCACCUAGACCACGAUAGAUAGGGGCCCUGAGAGGGGGAUCCCCCACACUGGUACUGAGACACGGACCAGACUCCUACGGGAGGCAGCAGUGAGGAAUAUUAGACAAUGGGCGAAAGCCUGAUCUAGCCAUGCCGCGUGCAGGAUGACGGCCCUAUGGGUUGUAAACUGCUUUGUAUACAGGAAGAAAAAACUCUACGUGUAGAGUCUUGACGGUACUGUAAGAAUAAGGAUCGGCUAACUCCGUGCCAGCAGCCGCGGUAAUACGGAGGAUCCNAGCGUUAUCGGAAUUAUUGGGUUUAAGGGUCCGUAGGUGGACAAUUAAGUCAGAGGUGAAAUCCUGCAGCUCACUGUAGAAUUGCCUUUGAAACUGGUUGUCUUGAGUCAUUAUGAAGUGGUUAGAAUGUGUAGUGUAGCGGUGAAAUGCAUAGAUAUUACACAGAAUACCAAUUGCGAAGGCAGAUCACUAAUAAUGUACUGACACUGAUGGACGAAAGCGUGGGUAGCGAACAGGAUUAGAUACCCUGGUAGUCCACGCCGUAAACGAUGGUCACUAGCUGUUCGGACUUCGGUCUGAGUGGCUAAGCGAAAGUGAUAAGUGACCCACCUGGGGAGUACGUUCGCAAGAAUGAAACUCAAAGGAAUUGACGGGGGCCCGCACAAGCGGUGGAGCGUGUGGUUUAAUUCGAUGAUACGCGAGGAACCUUACCAGGGCUUAAUGUAGAGUGACAGGUCUAGAGAUAGAUUUUUCUUCGGACACUUUACAAGGUGCUGCAUGGUUGUCGUCAGCUCGUGCCGUGAGGUGUCAGGUUAAGUCCUAUAACGAGCGCAACCCCUGUUGUUAGUUGCCAGCGAGUAAUGUCGGGAACUCUAGCAAGACUGCCAGUGCAAACUGUGAGGAAGGUGGGGAUGACGUCAAAUCAUCACGGCCCUUACGUCCUGGGCUACACACGUGCUACAAUGGUAGGUACAGAGAGCAGCCAAUGCGUGAGCAUGAGCGAAUCUACAAAACCUAUCUCACCUCGCAUCGGAGUCUGCAACUCGACUCCGUGAAGCUGGAAUCGCUAGUAAUCGGAUAUCAGCCAUGAUCCGGUGAAUACGUUCCCGGGCCUUGUAGGGAAACGCCCGUCAAGCCAUGGAAGUUGGGAGUGCCUGAAGUCCGUCACCGCAAGGAGCGGCCU
RNAcentral lists this ribosomal RNA (1397 nucleotides) under uncultured bacterium. Its description in RNAcentral is "bacterial SSU rRNA". It matches the Rfam family "Bacterial small subunit ribosomal RNA". The record is from RNAcentral.